Molecule: transfer RNA, 69 nt
Filed under: Podarcis lilfordi (Lilford's wall lizard)
Lineage: Eukaryota; Metazoa; Chordata; Lepidosauria; Squamata; Lacertidae
Description: tRNA.Lys
Rfam family: tRNA
About the family: Transfer RNA (tRNA) molecules are approximately 80 nucleotides in length. Their secondary structure includes four short double-helical elements and three loops (D, anti-codon, and T loops).
Source: RNAcentral
GGUUGGCUCAGUCAGUAGAGCAUGAGACUCUUAAUCUCAUGGUUGUGGGUUCGAGCCCCACGUUGGGCA